This 77-nucleotide transfer RNA is filed under the name Escherichia coli. Its description in RNAcentral is "tRNA-Met". It matches the Rfam family "tRNA". From Rfam's summary of the family: Transfer RNA (tRNA) molecules are approximately 80 nucleotides in length. Lineage: Bacteria; Pseudomonadati; Pseudomonadota; Gammaproteobacteria; Enterobacterales; Enterobacteriaceae. The record is from RNAcentral.
UACGACGUAGCUCAGUUGGUUAGAGCACAUCACUCAUAAUGAUGGGGUCACAGGUUCGAAUCCCGUCGUAGCCACCA